UUAAAUGGCCGCGGUAUUUUGACCGUGCUAAGGUAGCAUAAUCAUUAGUUUUUUAAUUGAAAGCUAGAAUGAAGGGUUUGAUGAAAAAUUUACUGUCUUCAUUUUAAUUUAUUAAAAUUUUAUUUUUAAGUUAAAAAGCUUAAAUUUUAUUAAAAGACGAGAAGACCCUAUAGAGUUUUAUAAAAUAUUUUUUAUUAUUAUUUAGGAUUUAAUUUUUAAUAUAAGAUUUAUAUUUAAUUGGGGUGAUUAAAAAAUUAAAUAAACUUUUUUAUAUUUUAUAUAAUUAAAUAUGUAUUUGAUCCAUUAAUGUUGAUUAUAAGAAUAAAUUACCUUAGGGAUAACAGCGUAAUUUUAUUGGAGAGUU
RNAcentral lists this ribosomal RNA (364 nucleotides) under Dercetina varipennis. Its description in RNAcentral is "partial 16S ribosomal RNA". Lineage: Eukaryota; Metazoa; Arthropoda; Insecta; Coleoptera; Chrysomelidae. The record is from RNAcentral.